RNAcentral lists this long non-coding RNA (574 nucleotides) under Cavia porcellus (domestic guinea pig). Its description in RNAcentral is "lncRNA (ENSCPOG00000032577.1)". The record is from RNAcentral. Lineage: Eukaryota; Metazoa; Chordata; Mammalia; Rodentia; Caviidae.
AUGUGGGGGGGGGACUUUAUUUUUCAGGUUGAAGCACUUAACAAAUUAAAAACUUUAAAUAGUUUAAUAAAACUGAAUGCAGUGAAGCUAAACAGAGCUAAAGGGAAGGAGGCCAUGCAUACGUGUUUAAAACAGAAUGCUUAUCGGGAAGCCCUCUCUGAUUUGCAGUCACCUCUGAAUCCAUGUAUCAUCCUUUCAGAGCUCUAUAUUGAAAAGUGCAAAUACAUGGAUUCCAAAAUGAAACCUUUGUGGCUUGUAUAUACCAAUAAGGUAUUUGGUGAGGAUUCAGUUGGAGUGAUUUUUAAAAAUGGUGAUGGUAAGUACUCAGGUUUUUAUAGCACCAAGUUUCUUAGAAGUUUUCAUUUGCUGGUAAUUUUGCUUUAUCUGAAAAGUGCAUAUAAAUGUGUAACCACUGGCAACCAAGAAGUGGCUGUCAUAAACUAAGCAUGUCAUAAAUCCUUCCCUUUUUUUUGUUUUUCUUUCUCAGAAAAUAAAUUCUGUAGUUCACUUAUAAUUCACUGUUGCUAGUACCUUUCCUUUUUUUCCUCCUAUAAAAUACAUAGUCUAUUUCUUU